Molecule: unclassified non-coding RNA, 25 nt
Filed under: Mus musculus (house mouse)
Lineage: Eukaryota; Metazoa; Chordata; Mammalia; Rodentia; Muridae
Description: oocyte_clustered_small_RNA1127
Source: RNAcentral
UACAGGCCACCAGAUGUUGCAUCCA